This is a long non-coding RNA of Corticium candelabrum, 464 nucleotides long. RefSeq lists it as uncharacterized. Lineage: Eukaryota; Metazoa; Porifera; Homoscleromorpha; Homosclerophorida; Plakinidae. The transcript has 3 exons. The record is from RefSeq and is a predicted model, not a curated record.
GGACUUCGGGGACUUAGCGAACGAUCUUUUCGACGUUUCUGUACAGACAGAGGCAUAAGUCGACGUUGUUCUCUGACUAAAGAGGAACUAGAACGCUGCGUGUCUGACGCCGUGAGCGAGGUCGGACCAUCUUGCAUCUUCAGAUCGUCAAAAAGCAAGAAGAAGGCAACGGCUACACAAUAAACUGCAGAGAAGAUCUUCAGCUUUAGAGAUGUCCACAACUUUGAACGACGAACAAAAGAAGACUUACGCUAGUGCCACGAAACUAGAAUUGAUGUCGUCCGAAGUCUCUGAAAAUAGCAGUGAUAACGAGCCACUCUCUGAGGGAGUCUCCACUGCUGGACAUUCACAACUCCUGAUCCGACCUCUUCCGUGGAGAGCGAUUGAAGCAACAAAGGUGUUUGAGUUUUGGGACAGAAAGUACGCCAGAAGGCAGACUCAGAGAGGAACGGUACCAAGAGUAA